This 295-nucleotide ribosomal RNA is filed under the name uncultured bacterium. RNAcentral describes it as "partial 16S ribosomal RNA". It matches the Rfam family "Bacterial small subunit ribosomal RNA", at positions 335 to 628 of the family's 1533-position model. The record is from RNAcentral.
UUCCCUACGGGACGCAGCAGUGAGGAAUAUUGGUCAAUGGGCGCGAGCCUGAACUAGCCAAGUCGCGUGAGGGAAGACGGUCCUAUGGAUUGUAAACCUCUUUUGUCGGGGAGCAAAAGACGCCACGUGUGGCGUUCCGAGAGUACCCGAAGAAAAAGCAUCGGCUAACUCCGUGCCAGCAGCCGCGGUAAUACGGAGGCUGCGAGCGUUAUCCGGAUUUAUUGGGUUUAAAGGGUGCGUAGGCGGGCUUUUAAGUCAGCGUUAAAAAUUCGGGGCUCAACCCCGUCCGGCCGUU